This 561-nucleotide small RNA is filed under the name Pongo abelii (Sumatran orangutan). Its description in RNAcentral is "retained intron". The record is from RNAcentral. Lineage: Eukaryota; Metazoa; Chordata; Mammalia; Primates; Hominidae.
GCCUCAGGACCCACCUGAGGAUGCCCCCUCCCUCCUGGCAUUGCAGAGUGAGGGCAUCGCCUCCACAGUGACCAGCCAGAUGAACUCCGUGCAGCUGGACGGGCUUCGGCCCGACGCCCGCUAUGUGGUCCAGGUCCGUGCCCGCACAGUAGCCGGCUAUGGGCAGUACAGCCGCCCUGCCGAGUUUGAGACCACAAGUGAGAGAGGUUAGUAGCCCCCUGCGCCUGUCCCCAUCGCGGCCCUCACUCUGUGUCCCUCCACUCAGCAGCCCCUUCUCUAUCUCCAGGCUCCGGGGCCCAGCAGCUCCAGGAGCAGCUUCCCCUCAUCGUGGGCUCCGCUACAGCUGGGCUUGUCGUCGUGGUGGCUGUCGUGGUCAUCGCUAUCGUCUGCCUCAGGUACUCCCAGGCCCACUGUUGCUCCAUGGGCCGACUCGAACUGCCUUUAGCAUCCUAGAGGCCUCAUGUCACAGAGAUGAGCCGCCACCACCUCCCUCAGACCCAGGGCCUUAGCCCUCCGGGGGCCAGCCGUUGCUGGAGAAGCCCUCUCCCGUCCCUGCCUGUG